Molecule: long non-coding RNA, 556 nt
Organism: Centruroides sculpturatus (bark scorpion)
Lineage: Eukaryota; Metazoa; Arthropoda; Arachnida; Scorpiones; Buthidae
Exons: 4
Source: RefSeq, a predicted model, not a curated record
GAUAAGUUGGAUAAGUUUGAAAUUGAUGAAUCUGGUAAACUUAAGAUAGUUAAAAAGUUACCUAAAGGUCAACAUUUUUUGAAAUUACAACAACAAGAUAAACAUUAUGCUAAAAGCAGUCAGAAUGUCAAAAUAAAAGAUGUUGGUAAUAAUGAAGCUCUUAUUGUGAUACAGUUUGGAAAACCUGAAAUAAUAGAAGAAAAGAAGAAAGUGGUCUUUUUACAUUCUACUCCAUUCUAUAAAUUUUUUCUUCCUAAUGCACCACUAAGUGACUACAAUUUUGAAAUAAAGGUUAUUAGUGAUGGCGGUGUUGAUGAACAAAUCAGGAUUAAAAACAAUAGUGAUAUAUUUAGUAUUGAUCCAGUCAAUAAUGAAAUUUUUCCAUUAAAAGAUAUUUCAAUACUAGAAAACUUUCAAACAGUUUUAACAGUAGAAGCUAUAAAUUUUGUUGAUGAAAAAUUAGACAUUUAUAUAUAUCAGCUCCACGAAGAGAAUUGUUUAAAUAUUUCUAUUUCAACAAACAUUUCAGUACUACUGAGUAAAUCUCAAAUAGAAA